AUUGAACGCUGGCGGCAGGCCUAACACAUGCAAGUCGAGAGAGCGGCGGACGGGUGAGUAAUGUCUGGGAAACUGCCUGAUGGAGGGGGAUAACUACUGGAAACGGUAGCGAAUACCGCAUACCAUCAGAUGUGCCCAGGGGGGAUUAGCUAGUCGGUGGGGUAACGGCUCACCUAGGCGACGAGCCCUAGCUGGUCUGAGAGGAUGACCAGCCACACUGGCACUGAGAACCGGUCCAGACUCCUACGGGAGGCAGCAGUGGGGAAUAUUGCACAAUGGGCGCAAGCCUGAUGCAGCCAUGCCGCGUGUUUGAAGAAGGCCUUCGGGUUGUAAAGCACUUUCAGCGGGGAGGCGUUACCCGCAGAAGAAGCACCGGCUAACUCCGUGCCAGCAGCCGCGGUAAUAC
This 406-nucleotide ribosomal RNA is filed under the name uncultured bacterium. RNAcentral's name for it is "partial 16S ribosomal RNA". It matches the Rfam family "Bacterial small subunit ribosomal RNA", at positions 29 to 526 of the family's 1533-position model. The record is from RNAcentral.